AGCUUUUCAGACCCCCACGGGCAUGCCCUAUGGAACAGUGAACCUGCUUCAUGGUGUGAACCCUGGAGAGACCCCUGUCACCUGUACAGCAGGGAUUGGGACCUUUAUUGUGGAAUUUGCCACCCUGAGCAGCCUCACCGGUGACCCUGUGUUUGAAGAUGUGGCCAGAGUAGCCUUGACGCGCCUGUGGGAGAGCCGGUCAGAUAUUGGGCUGGUAAGUCAGCUGUUGCCCUUCUUGUAUAAGUCAAGGCUGCUACCUUGGCCCAUACUUAGGAAACACAGAGAUCUGAAGAAUGAGUUACUGUUCAGCCAAGGGAAUCGUACAGUGACUUUAGGAGUAGCCAGGAUACCAAAAGUAGACUGAACUCCCAUUCACAUUUUGGCACAGAAGGGAAGAAAGCCAGACAGCCCAUCCUUGACAGGACUUGUUAAGCUUUGAGCCUUUGAGCCCCUCUCACUUCUAGGAGUUCAUAUGCUUCACGACCUGGACUCAUUUAGUGAUUAUCAGAUUAUAUUUCUUAGAAUACAAGUACUGAGAGUGUUGAAUGGCUGGU
This is an RNA transcript of Nannospalax galili (Upper Galilee mountains blind mole rat), 554 nucleotides long. It is a transcript of the gene named ER degradation-enhancing alpha-mannosidase-like protein 2 pseudogene, with no coding region annotated. The record is from RefSeq and is a predicted model, not a curated record. Lineage: Eukaryota; Metazoa; Chordata; Mammalia; Rodentia; Spalacidae.